Molecule: long non-coding RNA, 42327 nt
Filed under: Gossypium raimondii (Peruvian cotton)
Lineage: Eukaryota; Viridiplantae; Streptophyta; Magnoliopsida; Malvales; Malvaceae
Description: long non-coding RNA (GRAI_LNC009201)
Source: RNAcentral
ACUUCACCAUGACCCUCAGUUAUGGGGAGACGAUGCCCAUGUUUUCAAACCGGAGAGGUUCGAGGAAGGGAUCGCGAAAGCUACCAAGUACAAUGCGGCUGCAUUUAUUCCUUUCGGAAUGGGACCUCGAGCUUGUGUCGGGAUGACCUUUGCAAUCAAUGAAACAAAGACUGCUCUUUCCAUGAUUCUACAAAGAUACACCAUUUCUCUCUCCCCUGCGUAUGUUCACUCACCCGCACCUCGUAUCACAGUUCAACCACAACAUGGGAUUCAAGUUAUGCUCAAUUCACUGUCUAAUGAUGCUUAAACUAGGCGCUGUUCAUCUGUAACGCCGUAAUCAAUAAGUAAACUCUAGUGUCGGACUCUAGUAAUGUUUGUUCAGUUUGACCUGCCAUGCACUUUGCCAAUUCCCCAUGUUCGCAUGUCUGUGAAUGUUAGGUUGUAGAAUUAUUAGAGUUCUUUAUUUUCUCUAAAAUAUAUAUGUAAAUGCUUCUAUUAGAUCCGGAGAUCUGAUAUGAGAACAUAUCCAAAUAUAUUAGGAGACUUCAAGAAGUUUAGUUUAAUCGUAUUGAUUCAAUUUGGUAACAUUACAAGAAAGCAGUAGCAUACAUAUCAAAAUUUAUUAUACUAUAUCUCUUAAGAAACGCCCAAUGAAGUUGAUGAUAAACACGAAAAAUCCUAAGCAAUUUAGUUAUUCAGUAAACUCCUUAUAACUACGUUGUGGGAUAUCCUUGAUGAUAUCCCGUAAAAGAUCGAAGUAGAGGGGCAACUGUGCAAGUGCAAAGAAGGAAACAGGCAAACUUGUCACUGUGUAAAUCGGUAAAGCUGCAAACUUUAGCCUAUCUCUAAGUUCGAAGAAAUGGCCUGCACAAAAUGAGACUAGUAUUGCAGUUAUUGGAGUGAACAAUGCUGUUAGGCCGAUAAUGAGUCUCCAGGGCAAUUUACAAGCAAAAUCUCUCUUCCAAUCGGGAAGUCAGGAUUGCUAGGAAAAAUACCAAUGCAAUUUAAGUCCGAACUAGGUAUAUAUUAACACUUUUUAUGUUUGCUCAAAUUUGGCCUUACUUGAAAUAAGUACUUAAAAUUUUGCUGAAGUCCAUUCAUAUUUUGUAAAUAACUAACUCAAACUCAUUUUAAUCUUGUCUAUAUUAUUUAAAAAAUAUUAAUUUUUAUAUUAUUUUUAAUUUAAUAUUUAAUAAUUUUAUAAUAAAUUAAAAAUACUAAAAAUAUCAAAAUAAAUAUUUCUCAAUAAAUUGAAAAUAAAUUUUAAAAAAUAUGUAUAUUUAAAUGAUAUUAAAAUAGAUGUAACUUAACAAAUAGAUACCUCUAAAUAAUAACAAAAUUAACAAUAAAAUAUGUUUUAUAUAAUAUCCAAACAAGAGUAAUAAAAUAGUGGGUUUUUUACAAAAUUAUUAUAAAAAAAUAAAAAUUUACCAAAAUAUUAUAACUUUUUUUAUUUACCAAAUAUUAUAUAUUUUUUAUUUACCAAAAUAUACUAAAAAACAAAAAAAACCUGACAACAGCCUGAUCAGGCGAAUCACAUUGGCGGCACCAAAGGUGCCAAAGAGAUUGGCGGCACCAAUGGUGCCAAAAGACUAAAAUGUAACUAUCUGCAGUUUCAAGGACCUGACAUGCAAAUUUACCAUUUUAAAUUUUGAAAGUUAAUUGAUGCUGUGCGUGUGGGGCACACUAAAAUUAAAAUGUGGCUAAUUGUCUUCUAAGCCCUCAUUAUUUAUUAUUUUCUUUUUAUUCCUCUUCAACUCACUUUUUUAUUUAAUAAACAAGCCCUCAACCUAUUUUUGUAGUUAAAUAAGCUCUUAAUCUAUGAUUUUUACUCAUAAAAGUCCUCAAACUAAUUCGCAUUUUAUGUAUUAUUUUGGUAAUUUGAUGAGAACAGUUUAUUUAAAAAAUUUAGUAAAUUUGAUGAGAAUAGUUUAUAAUUAUAAUUUAUUUUUUCUAUUUGGGUUACAUUUAUGGGUGAUCAGUUUUAUUUUAUUUCUGGUUUUUCAAUAAGGCAUGCCUGGUAUUUCUAUUAAUUUUUUAAUUAAAUCUAAUAUUAGUUAAGUGAUAAUUAUGAUACUUAGAAUUCUAAUUAAGUAAUAACUCUAUUUUAAUUAAAUAAACUAUUCUCAUUUAAUAACUCUAUUUUAAUUUUAAAAAAUUAAGUAAACUAUUUUAAUUUAAUUUUUUUAAAUUAAAAUAGAGUUAUUAAAUGAGAGAAUUCUAAUUAAGUAAUAACUCUAUUUUAAUUUAAUAAACUAUUCUCAUUUAAUAACUCUAUUUUAAUUAAAAAAAUUCGAUGAGAAUAGUUUAUUAAAUUAAAAUAGAGUUAUUACUUAAUUAGAAUUCUAAGUAUCUUAAUUAUCACUUAACUAAUAUUAGAUUUAAUUAAAAAAAUUAAUAGAAAUACCAGGUAUGCCUUAUUGAAAAACCAGAAGUAAUAAUAAAACUGAUCACCCAUAAAUGUAACUCAAAUAGAAAAAAUAAAUUAUAAUUAUAAACUAUUCUCAUCAAAUUACCAAAAUAAUACAUAAAAUGUGAAUUAGUUUGAGGGCUUUUAUAAGUAAAAAUCAUAGAUUAAGAGCUUAUUUAACUACAAAAAUAGGUUGAGGGCUUGUUUAUUAAAUAAAAAAGUGAGUUGAAGGGGAAUAAAAAGAAAAUAAUAAAUAAGGAGAGCUUAGAAGGCAAUUAGCCACAUUUCAAUUUUAGUGCGACCCACACGCACAGCGGCAGCAAUUCACUUUCAAAAUUCAAAAUAGUAAAUUUGCAUGUCAAGUGCUUGAAACUGCAGAUAGUUACAUUUUAGUCCUUUGACACCAUUGGUGCCGCCAAUGUGAUUGGCCUGAUCAGGCUGUUGUUAGGUUUUUUUUUCUGUUUUUUGUUUUUUUUGUAUAUUUUGGUAAAUAAAAAAAUUAUAAUAUUUUGGUAAAUAAAAAAAAGUUAUAAUAUUUUAGUUAUUUUUUAUUUUUUUUAUAAUAAUUUUGUAAAAAACCCAAUUAAAUGAUAUGUGUUUAUUUAGAAUUUUAAACUUUUAUAAAAUUUUAUGAAUUUUUGUCUUUUUAUAAGAACCUAGAAUUCCAAACAAACACGUUUCUAUAAAAAGACAGUAAUCAAUAAUAGAGGGGAGAAGCGGUUGAAGUGAUAAAGGAGAGUUUGUAGAUGUUCACAUUUGUUUCAUUUGUUUAAGAGGGUUUCUUUCUAAACAAAAAAAUAAUAAUAAAAAAUGUUCAAACAGAAAAAAUAAAAAAUGUGUUUUGUUCUCACGAAAUUUUAGAUUUUAUGAAAUUUAUCAUAUUUUCUUGGAAAUAACAUAAAUUUCUUAAAAUAUAUAAAAAAUUUCAGAAAAGGAAAAAAUAAAUUCAAAAGAAAAUACCAUAAAUUUUUUUAAAAAAUUCAUAAAAGUUUACAAAAACUUAAAAUUCUAAACAAGCAUAUUUUUUUAAAAAAAUUAUGAUUUUUUUUAAUUAUUCAAGUUCCACAUACUUAUCAUUUAAAAUUUUUUUAUAAUAUUCAAAAAUAAAUUAUCAUUUUUUAUAAUUUUACAAGUUUUAGUUUUUUUGGUAUUUUUAAUAUUUUUUAUUUUUAAUAAUUUUUUAAAUUUUAAGUAAUUUUGUUAAGUGCAUGAUAAUUCGAUUAAAUUUUUUAAUAAAAAACAAGGUUGAGAUAAAAAGUUAUACAAAAUAAAGAGUCAUCUUUAUUAAUUUUUAAAAAAAAUUAAGAAUAUAUAAAUACAAAAUAAAGAAUAUACAAAAUAAUACAGACUUUAGUUGUAUUCGAAUGAGAAAAAGAGGUAUGAAGCAAAAUUUAAUUGGAAAAUGAAAAUAAGGGUUCUUGAACUCCGCAAAAUUCAUUGCUAUUUGAUUCUCAUAUUCUUCCUCUAAUUUUCUUUCUUCAAAAAUUGAAUAACAAAUAAUUAUGCUUCGAAGCAAUUUUUUUAGAAUAUUUCGAAAUUUUUUAUUUAUUUUUAUGUAUUUAUAAAUUCUUACUUUCUUUUUAAAAAUUUAUAAUUUUUAUAUAUAAACAAGGUUAAUUCAAUAAAAUUAUAAAAAUUAAAAUUAAAAUUAUUAUAUUAAUUAAAAAAUGACUAGUCAUCUUUUGUUAGUCACUUUAAUGGUUAAGUCACUAAAACAGACAAUUCAAAAUAUUAAUAUAUUAAAUUUUAUUAAUAAAUUAUUUUUAAUAUUUUAAUAAUCAAUAUUAAUAUAAACAACCAUUUUUCAUGCGACGAGUGUAUAAUCAUACUGGAGCACAUGACAUUACAACUCGGUCUACCGGUGGAUGGGUCAGUCGUCACGGGAGCAACGAUCAUUUCUGGUAAAGAGGAUCUCUACACGACAUUAUUGGGGAAGGUCCUGAACAAGUUUGAUGGUGGUCGGAUAUCGAUGAAUUUGAUGACGAAAAAUGUAAAUAAGCUUCCUGCGGAUGCCACCGAGGUCAUCAAAGUACAAUACGCCCAAACAUUCAUCCUUUAGUCAAUCGAGGGCAUUCUAAUGCUCAAUAAAUCUCAAAAUUUGGUACACAUAAAGUGGCUACUACACCCAAUAGACUUCAAAGAAUAUGGACAACUAAGUUGAGGAUCAGCCGUGUUGGCCACAUUAUAUCGGGAGUUGUGUUGGGCCACGAAAUCGAAUAAGAUGUCAAUCGGUGGUUGCCUACUCCUGUUCCAGUCGUGGGCCUGGUGGCGACUACCAUUUCUACGUCCUCAAGUCAACAACCCAUACAUGUUUCCAUUGGUGACAAGGUAAAAAUCAUUUAUUAAUAAAUACGUAGUUUUUACAGUAAAUGUUUUUAUUCAUUAUAUGUUUGAACUAACAUAUCGCUUUUACAAGUGGAACCAUGAGCCGAGUUACGUAGGACUAUUCGAGGACCUGGAAGAUAUUAGGCUGCUGUUAGAUCAACGCUCGGAAGCCAAUGUUAGUUACUUAUUCUUUCAAACCUAUAUUAAUUACGCAAUGAUUUGUAAAAUAAAGUUUCGUACUAAUGAAAUUUACAAUUGUGUGUUUUAGUUUGAAUGGAUGUCAUACGUCGACACUGAUAUUAUAUCUUGCAUCUCGCCAAAAGUGUUGGUCAAUCAAGGGAUGUGGGACGCGAAAGUGUCAUUGAUAAUGUACGCGACAGUGGAUAUACAAAAAUCGGAUAGAGUGAUACGACAGUUUGGGUAUCGGUAAUAAAUUCCACCGGUACAGUGAGACUUGAAGGAGUUGCACAAGGUGGACACGCGAGGGUAAAAUGACCAGGAUUGGCGAGAGAUGCACAAGGACUACAUUGAGGCUUAGGAUCAAAAAAUGGAAUUCAUACCCAUCCGCGAACCAUUUUUCUAAGCAGAUACAGCGGCCUGUUUAGAGUACUUGUCGUGGUUCAGAGUUGUCGGCAAGUCGUAUUUGCUAUCGAUAUAGGUGAAGAGUAGGAAACAUCAUCAGAAGAGGCAACGAUGACUGCCCCAGCAAUAGCGUAGGGCCAGACGUGAUUGCACAAUGAGUUCGUUAUUGGCUCCACCCGAAGAAGUGUCACCUAUGUCUACGCAAUAUUCCGGUCAGUUCACUCUACUUAUUCCUGUUCAUUUCACUAACGCUGUGUUUUUUCACAAGCACUACACUACGUAACACCAUCGCACAUGCUCGGUUCUUCUGUUUCCGUAGGUACAUAUUUUGGGGCACCAAUAUCCCCCGUAUUCUACACCCCGAUGCCAAUGUCGACGUCGACCCCGAUGUCGGGCUAGAUGUUGAUGCAUGCACUAUUAUCGAUGAUGACACCGAUACAAACGUCGAUGUCAAUAUCGAUGCCUGGGUCAAUAUCGAUGUAUCUGGGUUUUAUGGCACCUUAUGGUUGCACACUGAUAGCGACACAAACACCGUCCGCAUCAUUGUUUUAUCAAGGUGGGUCAUUGGUGCAAUUGUCUGUCGAUGGAGUGGAGGAUACAUGAAGGGAGACUAGGACGACAUCACACUCGAGCAUAUUGGAAGGCGAUGUGACAAAGGCAAAGGCAAAGACAAAGAUGAAUAUGAAGACAAACACGAAGACCAAAACCAAGACCAAGAUGAACAUGAUGACGAUGAUGGAGACGAAGAUGAGCAAGAGGGUAGAGGUGAAGGCGAUGAUGAUAAGGACGACGACAAUGAGGAAGUUUAUAGGCCCGCAUCUCCGGUUGUGUGCAGAAAUCCUUCUCGCGAGCAUUGUCCACUACCCUGCAGCACACAUUCUCCCCCAUGACACAAUUGAUGUAUUCUUUUUUUUACUAUUACGAUGUAAAUAUAUAUGACAUAAAUAAAGAAACCAUAAAUUUUCAUUCCAAUACUAUAUUGUAUUAAUUACAUUUUAAAGUGAGUUAUGCAUAUGUUAAUAAAAAAAUAAAAAAUUUGGAAACUAGAAUAGUAGAAGCAUUGUAAUGAAUAUAUUCUCUAAAAGAAAAUAAUGCUAUUGACAUUGAGGCUCCAAAGUUCCCCUCAACACAGAACAUGUUGCCUUUGUAUGCCCUGGAUUCCUUGUAACGCCCCAAAAUUUUUAAUUUUGUUAUUGUGAAAAUAUGACAAAAAUAUUUUUCUGCUUCAGUGGUUAAGUGUUUUGAGUGUGUGUAUGAGGUCCCAAGUUCAAGCCUUGACUUGGGAAAAUUUUGGUAUUUUUAUGAGUAAAGCCUUAUCUCUGGUCAGUAGGCUUAUAGUUAAAAGUUGGUAAAAAUAUAUCAGAAUGGGUUUGCUGGUCUGGUGGUUAAGGUGUGUGUUGGCGAGUGGGAGGUUUGGAGUUCAAGUCCUUGCGCGAGCAAGGGAAUUAUUUUUUGUUUCUUGGCCAUGUGGCGUGGUGGAGUCCUAGUCAAAUUGAAAUUUCGAGUAAUGGAGUUGUUAUGGGAGGUUAGGGAGAGAAUUAAGGAGAUGAGUUGCCAGAUUUUUAGGCAUUAUCUUUUUGUUUAGUCUUUUUUCCAAAUUUCGAACUCAUUUCCAUCUUUUUGACGUUUUCUCUCUUUUCUCACACUUUCAAUUUUUGGUUUUCCUCUUUUUUCUAAAUAAUAAAUCCUUGCUGCUGAAUUUCCUUUGAAUUCCCCUUCCGUUUUGUUGUCUUUCUUCAUCUUUUCCCCUUUGUGCAAGCAUACAAUUGUGUUGUACGGUAAGUUUUCAUUUCAUUAAACUCGACUGCUAAUCUAGAUAAAGGAUUAAGGGGUGUUUUGUUGACUGUUUAGGAGUCGAUUGUGAGACUGGAAUUAACAUUCGUCGAUUUGACUCGAAGUGGUGAUCAUUUGGUAACCGUAUAGGGUAUGCGUUUUCUUAUGUUGUUUGGGCGAGUGGUUUUGGCUUUGAAUUUGUUCUUAAAUUUGUUGAACACUUCGUUAAUGAGGAAUGGUUAUUUUUACAGCGGCGAAUCCUUUCGGUUGCUAUCUCCUUCAUGUUGAGUACUGGUGGAAUUGUGCGAAGUUAGAAGGUUUUUGGUGGUCUCGGGAGUGCGUAAACAACAAAAAUGAUACAGGUGUGUACCUGAAACGCAAAAAAUGGGAUUUUGAAAAAAGCUGAAAUUGCUUGUUGUCGAGAAAUAAGAGAAAAUGAUGCGAAAAAUUGUAGAGAAAGGAAAUAAGGGUGUUAUAAUCUUGGAAAUCACCAUUCUACAUUAAAAUAGUUUUGGAUAGCAGCAGUAGUCUAACUUUGAAAUAUCAUCUAAAAUAGUGAAAAUUGAGUUAGAGAUUGAAUAAAUUAUAAAAUUAAAUUUUAUUGAGUCUAGUUUUUCAUGAAAGAAACAGUGUAAGCAAUGAAAUUGUAAGUCAUGAGAUAUAAUGAAUUUUGUGAGACAAGGUCAGAAUGGUUUCGGGUUCCCCUGUUUUGACUUUGGAAAAUCAUCAAAAAUUGUAAAAAAAAUAAUUAAGGGCUUAAGUCUAUAUUUUUAAAUCUUUAAUUAGUCUAUUUUCAAGAGAAACAAACAGAAACAUCAUCCAAAUUUCAUACUAUGAGAUAAAUAAUUUUUAGUAAGAAAAGGUUGAAGCUGUCAAAUAGCAGAAUAGGGAUAACUUUGAAGAUUUUACUGUACUUAUUUAAUAAGCAAUAAAUUCUAAAAAUUUUAUGGUAGAAAUUUAUUUGAGUCUAGUUUCGAAAACAUCAAGUGGAUCUUAAUUUGGGAUUCUAUAGCUCAAGAUAUAAAUAAUUUAGUGACAAUGACUCAAGUAGACAGCUCUGAAUGAUCAUAUAAGUAAAUAGUGAGAAGAUAUAUGAAUAUUUAGCUAGCAUAGGUUACAUUAAAAAUGGAUCACACGGCUAAGGCCAAUUUGGGCUGAGUGGGCCAUAUGGGCACACACGGGCGUGUAGGCCCAUUAUUACCGAAAUGAUUCUAAGGUUGCAUGGGUCGCCCAAGUCGACUGUGAACCUACUGUAAGGUCAGUAAGCGCUACUUAAACCCCUAAAUGUGUGAAAUUGACUGAAUGAUAUUUUACUGAGCAUUUUAAUAUCUGAACCGAAUAUAUGUUCUGAAAUUGCAUAAUAGCAUAUCAUCCAUUGUAUGUUGCAUUGCAUUGGGUUGGGGGAUGUUAUUCGGAGGAAGUGUACUGAAAGGCUUUAAGCCUAAUUUACUGGCAGCUCAGCUGCAAACUACUGUUUUGUGCCACAUCGAUACUACUUAGAGUGUAGGGAUGGGUGGGUUGAUUAUAUCCCCACAUGGAGGGUAGGGUUGGACGAAGAUGGUGUGUAGAGGCGGGAUGGGUAGGAUUUUUCUACUGCAUAACUGUUACUGCUAUUGAUGCUAUGAUGGGCUAAGGCCCUACUACAUUUUUGACACUGUACUGAGAUAGGCUAAGGCCCAAACUGUCACUGAUACUGAAAAGGGCUUAGGCCCAAGGCUGUUCAACUGUGCACUAUGAAUACUAAUUGUUUGUUUGUUUCUACGGGAUUACACACUGAGUUUACGUAAACUCACCCUUUUUGUUAAAUGUGCACAGGUAAUCCCUAGACUUAAACGGUUCGGUAUGACGGAGGACUCAGCGGUGAUCACAAAAAUUUUUGGACUUCAUGAUUUUAAAUUUACGUUUUAUGAUUUAAUUAUUAUUGAUUAUUUGGGUUGUAAUUUAAGGACCCUCUGGGAAUUUGGUUUUAAAUUUUGGGUUUUUAUUUAUUUAUUUUACUUUAUGGAUUUAUACCUACUGGUCGUAGGAAAUUCGAUUUUCAAAAUGUUAAAGUAGUUUCUAAACGCAUGAUCACUUAGACUGUUUUAUUAAAGCUUCUGCAACGAGGGAUGUUUCAAAACAAAUGAUUUAAAUGAAUAAAGACGACUUUCUAAGUUCUAACAAAGGUUUACUAAAGAUAAUAACAUGGAAUUUUUUCAACGUAACAACGAGGUUUCAAAAGCACUGUCGUGUGACAUUGUCAGAUACGGCCAUAACGUCUACACUGGGUUUGGGGUGUUACAUUCCUACAGUACCCGCAUAACCUCUAUUGACUAUCCUUCUCCCGAAUAUCCAUAUUGUUCCAUAUCCGAAUGGUAUUCGGGCGACUUUUUGGAACGCGAUGUACGUUCAUGUUCGGUGCCAACUCAUACGGUGCGCUAGACGAUGGCGGCCACGUACUCUCAUUAGGGACGGGUGGGAAUUCAGGACUCCAUAUUUUAUGCAUGCGUUUUAGACUGUACACAUCGUUGAUGUAAGGCGUGUACUCAAUUCUUAAGUUUGCACAUGCGACAAUUACAUGUACGUAUGGGAAUCGAAGUGCUUGGAACCUCCCACAAUCGAAAGCCCCUCCUGUUAGGUCGACAUGAUAUGAUGCCCCUGACAUGCCUUCUUCAAGCCUAGCGUGCUCCGUGACUCAAAAUUUCAGAUUUCGACGGAAGUGACACACUGCAUACAUAGUGUUCGCUUUCGCUAUAUUUCGUCUGAUUUAUUUCAUUACAUCCUCAUACCAAGUAUCUGAUUUCUUUCAUUACAUCAUUACACCAAGUAUGGUCACCCGCUAUUUGUCCAGCGUAUGUCACUGACUUAUUUGGAAACAAUGCAACCAGAUGAAAGUAUGUUUCUUUCACAAUCGAGGUUAUCGACAAGUAAUGCAUCCCCUUUAGUACGGAAUUGAUACACUUGACUAAGUUUGACAUCAUGUGCCCAUACCGUAAACCUCCGCCAUAUGAUUGCGUCCACUGUUCAAAGGGUAUGUUGGCGAGGUAUGCAGCACCGUAGCUAUUGAUGGCACCCAAGUUGUUCAACAUUUCAUGGAAUUGUUGUUGGACGAGCUCACAUCCUGUCAAGAAAAGCAUACCCAUGAAUGCAAACAACGACCAAAAUAGGGUAAAACAUUGCGGUGCAGGUAGUGUUAAUUACAUACCCAUGUCGAUUACUUCAUUUCGCUCACUUUUCGAUAGCCAUUUUGUGUGGUAGUUGGAUCUAACAUGUCGUAAGUAGUACCUAUGAUGAGUACGAUACAAAAGCUACCAUGCCACUCAAUUGCUGACAAGAUUUCGGUUCCCUUGUUAGAUAUGACACAUAUGUUGGGCUACGGGAAAACGCGACAGCGUAUUCGGCUCAGAAAGAAAUCUUAGUUGUCUGUCGUUUCUCUAGGAGUUAUUGUAGACGCAAUCGACAGAAUCCUCCAAUUACCAUCCUGAGGAACGAUAAUCAACAAUUGAUGCUGACUCCUUCUCCUCAACUGCAUUCGCUGUCAUUUUUUCCUCACUUGUAUCUUCUUCCUCAGUCACAUCUUCUUCUUCAUCUGCAUCUUCUUCCUCGGCCAUAUCUUCUUCCUCAUCUGCACCUUCAUUGUCCCUUUCAAGUAAGAGGUUCAAUGUACCCUUGUCACUCCCCGUCGAAAGGAUUAAGUCAUCGGUUCUUCUAUAACCCAUGUGUCCAUCAUAAUCUACACUAGUUUAGAGUAAGUCAUGUGUACGUCGAUGAACCCCUGGUAUAAGUGCUUCCGACCCAUGAUAUUAAACCCGCACUGAAGUUGAAAUCGAAUGCACUAAUUGAAAGACAAACUUGAAUGUCAAAAUUAGGGUUAUAGUCAUACCCCAACUGGUACUGGCUCCCGAAGUUUAGAUAUGUGCCAAAGAUCAACGAAUGUUUACCAAUAGAUGUUUCGAGGACAUCGUAGUAGUAGCUUUGUAACACGCCAGUGAACCCACCACACAACCUUGUAGCAAGACUUUCUGCUUCAGCUUCGGUUCCAACAUUAGAUGCAACGAUGGCCGAAGAUGGGCUAGAUGCAUAAACCUUGGCAAACUCGACGUAUAAGUCCAUUACAACAUUUUACCUUAAAAUGUGCGGUCAUAUAAUCGUCUCGAGCUAGACCUCGUCAUUCACAUCAAAUUCGUCAUACCUGUAAGGGGUCAAUGGAAGCAAGUUAUCUACAUUGCAACCUCAAAAUUCUUUCUCAGGUUGAUCCUCUGACUUUCCUCCUAUUUCUUGUCCAUAGCUCACGCAAUUGAAAGGUAUGAUUGAACGCCAAUUCCACAAACUGUGCUCCUACAAAUAUCACCCAACCUUUGUAUUAUAGAUUUGACCGUCAUAAUAAAAAAUAGAUUUCACUCGUCGACUCAUUUCAAUAUCAGUUAAGAAUUGGAUUAACAAUACCAAAAAAUAAGUAGAUGGUUGUUGAAAGAAAUACACAUAACUCCUACAACUUAACAACUUGAUUUUUUAUGUUAAUUUACUGUGUGUCUAAGUUAUGCAAAUUACGUCUCUUUAAUAGGAAAAUAAGCCAACGAGAGGGAAUAUGAUGUGAGUCUUAAGGCCAAAAAUCAGGCUCAUAAACGUGAUGGGCUCAAAUUUCCUCAAAGCCCAAUAACGAGGUCGAAGGCCAAACAAAUUCGAGCAAUUUUGAACUAGACCAUCCAAGACUUCGUUACCAAGGCCCUAGAUGCGCACACAACCGAAAAAGAAAAUCAAGAGUCACUUUCUUGUUUUCAAGAAAAUCAAGAAAUCGAAUCUUGGUCUAAUUUUGCUAUUUCAGACAAUUUCAAGAAUCAAGAAAAUCAAGAUUUCAAAUCUGGGUCCAAGAAACUGAAUCUUGUAGCCAAGGCGCAUUGGAUUUCAUGUACAAGCUAAUUUCUAAAGCAAACGGAUCACAAGAUCAAGUUCUUGAAUAAAUGACCCAUUAAGAUGUCUACGAGUCCAUCAUGAAGUUUGGAAAGUAAUUUAAUUGAAUAUUAGGCCAAAUUAUCAAAGUGGCCCAAGUUGUAAAAUAUUUAAACUAUAGGUCCAAUUUUAUUUUAAUAGGUGGAUCAUCAAGUAAGAAUUCGAUCCAAUGAGCCCAUUUAAUUCCUUUGGUUGAAUUGCCAUUAAAAGUCCACACUUAAAUUUAUUUUGUUUAAUUUAUUUGAUGAGUUGUCAUGUUAAUUAUUCCAUUAGGGUUAGGAAAACUUAUUUUAGGGCCUAUAGGUAGCAUGAAUGUCCACCCUUAUAGAUGAACAAUUGAUUUUUUGUUUUUUUUAAAGUUAAUAAUAAUUCUCUUUGAGUUUUUCUUCAAAAAUUGUCAUUGAGUUUCUUUUAGAAGUUGUUUUAACAAUGUUUUAGGUUGUGGGAAUCAUCUUCAAGCUUUUUCUUGCCAAGAUCUUUUUCUUGGAGGAGGGAUUAGAGCCAUUGAAAGGAUUUGUGGAUUCUUAAUGUUUCCAAGGCUUCUUAGGACGUCAUCUUCUCUUUUCUAGCAUUAAUUUAUCGUUUUUUGUUUAUUUUAAUUUAAUUCUUUCUAUUUUUUCUUACUGAUUUUAUUGACUUUUGUUCUAGGUUAAAAUUUCUUGAAGAGACAUUCUCCUAUCUUGUUCCAUCAGGAAACAUAUCAAAAUUAGGAAUUUUAAUCUUUUAUUAUUGUUUCAAACAUUCUUGCACAAAACAAUUUGCUUUUGUCUUUAAAAUCACUUCUAACAAAUAUGUUUUGUGUUUUGUUUUUCCAGAUCUAGUUGGGACAUUUUUCUUGAGGUCCAGGACAAUUUCUUUCCAUCUAAGAAACUCUAAUUCGUUCUCUAUUGGACUCUUUACCAGUCAGUUGAUCUUUCUUGUAACAACCCAUUUUUAAUGGUGUUGAAAAUAGUGGUUUCGAGACCACGACUCUGAUGAGUGAGUUAUUAUUUAAUUAUUUAUUUAAUUUCUAUAGAUUAAAUUUUUGUUAAGAAAAUUUAAAGUUUAAAUGGUUAAUUAGGUAAAAAGGACUAAAUUGAUAAAGGUACAAAAGUUGAGUUCUUUUAUUUAAGUGGAUUAAAUAACUUUAGCAAGGUAAAUUAAUGGAUUUAUAUGGUAAAUAUACCACAUUUAAAGUUAGUCGAUAUGCAUGGAUAGGUUUUAUUGUAAAUUAUGUGAAUCUAAAAGGUUAAAAUGGUAAAUUAAUAAUUAAAAGAAAAAUAAACUAACCAAAAGUGGUCAUCUUCUUGAAUUAACUCUCCAAAAUCGAAUAGCCAUAAAAAAAGGGUGAGUAGCUUUCGAUCAUGGUGUUUUUCCUUGCAUGAUCAAGGUACUAAUCAACCGGACUUAGACCGAGGAAAAGCUAAAAUGGUGGAUUAGUCAUCAGCCUCGUUUUCACAACUGUCUUAUCGAGGAGUUGGGUUGAAAUACAUUUGGCAUUACUGAAUUCUUGAAAAGGUUAUAUCCAAAACGAAUAUCAAAUGAAAAGGUUGUUACCCUAAAAAGGUUAACAUAUGAAAAGGUUAUAUCGAAAACGAAUAUCUAAUGAAAAUGUUGUUACCCUAAAAGGGUUAACAUAUGAAAAAGUUAUAUUCGAAACGAAUAUCAAAUGAAAAGGUUGAAAAGGUUGUUACCCUAAAAGGGUUAACAUAUGAAAAGUUUUAUUGAAAAGGAUUUAUGGUAAGAACCCAUUUAGUUAAGGUUUGUAUGAAAUUUUAAUUUGAUUAUGUAUUUAGUUACUAACUUGAGAUGUGAUAUGUAUAGGAAGAAUUGUACAUAUAGUAAUUGAAAUGCUUGAAUGGUUAAUCAUGAAAUCAUGUUUUCGAUAAGUUGAGUUCUUUUAAACGAACUUACUAAGCAUUGUUGCUUAUGUACUUAUUUUGUUUUGUUUUGUAGAUCAUUGGAGACUUGAUCGGUUGGAAUCUUGUUGGAGACCUAUCAUACUAUCCAACAAGCAAUUUGGUAGAUUUUGAGUUAUUUUGGUUGGUAGAAAAUGACAUGUAUAGGGCUUAAAUGUAAUAGGUGUUGUGAAUAUGUUAUUUGGCCAACUUGGUAUGGAUAUGUUUUUUUUAGUAUAUGUUUGUUUGGACUUGUAAUGCUUACUAAGUACAUGUCUUUUGGUCACUUUUGAGUGAAAUGUAUAUAUAUGACAUGAGAUAUGUUUAUAUGUGGCUGGACUUUUGAAUGCUUGUAGUGGUGAUGAUUUAUACUUAGAUUAAUGUGAUGUUGAGUUGGUAUGAAUUAAGCUACCUUUGAAUGGCAUAUUGGUUAGAAUUUAUAGGUUGAUUGAUUUGGUAUGUGUUGAGUGUGUUUAGAGAAUGUUAUGGUCAAUUAAAUGUAUGUGUAAAUGGUGUAUCUUGUUGUGCAAGAAUAGGUAUUGAAAUGGCUUGUUUUAAGGACUUUAUGUGGAGCACAUGACUUGGGACACGGGCUGUCGCACAGCCUGGCUACACGGCCGUGUGCCACUUUUUAUUUUAGGUGCAGGUUUCACACGGUCUAAGACACUGCCAUGUGUAUCAAGUCAAUGAGUUACACGGUCUGUAACACGGCCGUAUGACCCAAGUCAGUGAGUUACAUGGGCUGGGACAUGGUCAUAUGUCCCAUUGUUCGAAUGCCCACAUGGUCUGGGCUAUGUCACAUGGCCAUAUGACCCCUGUUUCAAAAUUUUCAACUUUUUUCCUAAUUUUUCUACUUUAUUUUAAAUUAGUCCCAAAUUGAUCCCAAACUGUUCUUAAGGCCUUAAAGGCUCGAUUUAAGACCCAAGUCUGUAUGUUUGCUAGGCUUGAAAUGAGUUUUAAGUAAUAUUAAAUCGCAUUAUUAAUCUGUUUUGAAGUUAAUUGUUCUAAAUUGUACAAUAAUACUUCGUACCCUAAUCCGGUGACGGAAACGAGUUAGGGGUGUUACAUUUCGUUUGACUCUCUUUUGUGACAACUAAUUUAUUUUCGUUGUUUCUUGAUUCAAAUUACGUUUGUUUAGAGAUCUAGGUUAAGUUUGAAACUUAGACAAGCUACGAUCUUGUUCUGCAUGCAUGUCGUAUCAUUCUUUAUAAUUUGGUAUCAAAUUUGGGCGUUUUGGGUGUUCAUGUUUGAUUUAUAAACUGAUUUCCAUUGCAAAACAGCCUAUAAGUAGUUUGUACCCAGAAUUUUUUUUGAAUUAUUUUUUGAGUGGUUAAGCAUUUUUCAAUUGAUCUAAAAUUUUAUAAAUUGAUUCUUGGCACUGUAUUACAAUAUAAAAAUAUUUCCCAAGAAAAAAGUGAUCGAAAAAGUAUAGAAAAAAGGAAAUACAAAAAAAUUUCUGUGGGUUGAAUUUUUUUUCAAAACUUUCCAAAUCAGAUCUACAUUAUUUAAGGAGGUUCUAGUUUAAAUUUCGUGAUUUUUUGAAAUCAGUAACAACUCAAACAAAAUUUUUCAAGCUGCUUCGCAAUUUUUCGAGUUUUCAGGUUUUAACAAUUUUUAAUGACUUUUAGCCUUUGGUUUUCAUUUGUUUUUUCUUUUUAUUGUUCCUAUACACAUUCUAACACUUUAUUGUUUCUUGUGUUAGUAGGUUAAAGCACGUUGCACAUUCCUUCCUCGGUGCAACACAAUUCUUUGGUGUCUAACCACUUUUGGACUCUUAGUGCCGUUAAGAUAUUUGGUUGCUAGAUUCUUUAACAUUCUGAUUGAUUGUCAUAAAUACUCCUAAAGGACUCACAAGAUUAAUUCUUACCUUAUUGAGAAUUCAAUUUUAUUUUUGAGUGCGUAACGGUGAUAUUUGUUUAAGUUUUUUCUUUUUGAGUGCUGUGUUUUUUUAGAUUUGUCACAAUGUCUCGUAGUGGCAAAAAAAGUGAUGACCAGAGUGGCACACCACUAGUGACCAUCGAAAAUCUUACUGGUUUCGCAAUGAAAUUACAAUGUGACCUCAAUGAAGUCAAUGAUAAGUUCGAACAUAGGCUUGAUAGUUUGCAAUGAAAUCUAGAGGAUUGAAAUGCUUAAGAUCAGAAAUGUGAUACUAUUUUAGACACGAUCAUUAAAAAUUUGGAAUGUCUAAGUACCAAAAUUGAGCAUCGCAAUUAUAAUAAUUAGGGAGAUAUGGUUGAUCAGCCUCGUCUUUGUGCAAAUAAUGCUCGAUGUAUCUCUCGUGCAAAUGACAAGACUUUAGUUAAUAAUGACUGUGGGCAACAUUUUUUUAAGCUAAAUCAAAGCUUUCAAUUUCAGAAUUUCAUGGAAAGAAUGAUCAAGAGACUUAUUGUGAUAGAAAAAGUGAUCAUAAAUUAUUUUGUCAAUUCAAGGGGAGAUGGCCAAACUAAAGGAGGAAUACGAUUAAGCUAUCACCUUUUGUGCAAUGUUAUUAGUGUAGUUCAAAAUAUCAUAAGGGUUUCCAACGUUCAAUUAAAUAUCCAACUAGAGAAGAAAGUAAGUAUGACUUUGUACCUUUUGUUGACUCAUACUCUAGCAGAAAAGAGAUUUGUAAUGGCAAACUUUGUGAACCAGAAAAAGAUGAUAGUGAAAAUUUUUUUCCUUGAAUCUAUUGAGGUAGAUGAGAUAGAAAAGUCUUGUUCUCCUACUAAGAUGUAUUGUACUGAAUUCAAUAUUCAUAAUACUUAUGAGGGGGAUAUGGGAAGUGAGGUGGAAUCAUGUGAAAAUACCAAAAGAAAAGAGACUUUGAGUGAUAAAAGUCUACUUGAUGGUUUAAAUUUGGUGAGUGAAAAUCCAUAUAAGGUAAAAUUGGAGAGUUCUCAAGUGGAAAAAGAAAAUGCCCAUACAAAAGUGAGGAAUGAUUAUGUUUUAACUAACCCUAACUCAAAUUUGUUUAGUGGUGUUUCUCUAUUACAGGAUCUCAAGGAUCCAUUGAUGGACUUCCAAUUAAAGUACUCUGCCAUCGAUAGACGAUUUUACUUAUGGGAGAGAGGUAAGUUGAACAUUGAUACUUCUCUAUAAAUGCUACAAGGUAAGAAAGGUAAGAAAACAUUAGAAAUUGAUUUAAGAAGGCAUACAUUGAAUGUUUUUGAUAAGUAUGCUACUAAUUUUGUUUGUAAAAUAUUUCCUUACAACAUGUUUUCUCGUUGAUCUAAUUUUAUUAAACCCUGGUCUAAAAGUUCAAUUGAUUUUAUGGGUUUAUCUAGGUAUGUCAGUGUUACUUUUGUUGCAUUCGAUAGGUUUAUUAAAUAACUUUAUGUAUUUGAUCUUACAACAAAAUUUUCUACCUUAGACUUUAAAUAUGAAUUUUUAAAUAAUAAUAUUAAACUUCUAGAUUUCGAUUAUUAUGUGAAAUUAUUGACUAAUCUUUGGAAAUUCUUAUGGAUGACCAUGUAUAUUCAAAGAAAGUUACAAAUCAUUUUUUACUUGAACACUUAUGUGCCUAAAAAUUAUUUUUUUAGUGUUGAUACCUUGUUUUUAAAGGAGACAUCCAUGAUCGAAGCUAAUUUGUAGGAUUGAAAUAAUGCCUUUGAUCCUGGAGAUAGUUUUGGCGCAUAAGAAAGUUUAGGUAAGUAUUUUUUUGUUAUUUAUUCUAAUACCUUUUGUUUUUGUGUAGUUAGAGAUUCGAGGAUUAAUCUUAUUGAGGAAGGGAGGAAUGAUGCGAGUCUCAAGGACAAAAAUCAAGCUCAUGAACGUGAUGGGCUCAAAUUUCCUCAAGGCCCAAUAACGAGGUCAAAGGCCAAGUAAAUUCGAGGAAGAUUGAAUGGGCCCAUCCAAGACUUCGUUACCAAGGCCUUAGAUAUGCACACUAUCGAAAAAUAAAAUCAAAAUUCACUUUCUUAUUUUCAAGAAAAUCAAGAAACCGAAUCUUGGUCCAAUUUUUCUAUUUUAGACAAUUUCAAGAAUAAAAAAAAAUCAAGAUUUCAAAUCUUGAAAAUCUUGGUCCAGGAAACUGAAUCUUGCAGCCAAGGCGCAUUGGAUUUCAUAUAUGAGCUUGAAUGAGCCAAUUUCGAGAGCAAACGGAUCACAAGAUCAAGUUCUUAAAAAAUGACCCAUUAAGAUGUCUACAAGUCCAUCUUGAAGUUUGAAAAGUAAUUUAAUUAAAUAUCAAGCCAAAUUAUCAAAGUGGCCCAAAUUGUAAAAAUAUUUAAACUAUAGGUCCAAUUUUAUUUUAAUAGGUGGAUCAUCAUGUAAGAAUUCAACCCAAGGAGCCCAUUUAAUUCCUUUGGCUGAAUUCCCAUUAAAAGUCCACACUUAGAAUUAUUUUGUUUUUUUUUAUUUGAUGAGUUGUCAUACUAAUUAUUCUAUUAGGGUUAGAAAAACUUAUUUUGGGGGUUUAUAAGUAGCAUGGACAUCCACCCUUAUAGGAUGAACAAUAGAUUUUUUUUAAGUUAAUAAUAAUUCUCUGAGUUUUUCUUCAAGAAUUGCUCUUGAGUUUCUUUUAGAAGUUGUUUUAACAAUCUUUUAGGUUGUAGAAAUCAUCUUUAAGCUUUUUCUUGCCAAGAUCUCUUUCUUGAAGGAGGAAUUAAAGCCAUUGAAAAGAGUUGUGGAUUCUUAAUGUUUCCAGGGCUUCUUAGGACGUCAUUUUCUCUUUUUUAGCCUUAAUUUAUCGUUUCUUGUUUAUUUUAAUUUAGUUCUUACUGUUUUGGCUUACUGAUUUUAUUGAUUUUCGUUGUAAGUUAAAAUUGCUUCAAGAGAGACGUUCUCCUAUCUUUUUCUAUCAAGAAACACAUCAAAAUUAUGAGUUUUAAUCUUUUCUUAUUGUUUUAAAGAUUCUUGCACAAAACAAUUUGCUUUUGUCUUUAAAAUCAUUUCUAACAAACCUGUUUUGUGUUUUGUUUUUCCAGAUCUGGUUGGGGCAUUUUGUUGAGGUCUAAUGACGAUUUCUUUCCUUCCAAGAAACCCUAAUUCAUUUUCUAUUGGACUCUUUACCAAUCGGUUCAUCUUUCUUUUGUUUUAAUUUUGUUUGAAUUUCCUUUGUGACAAUUAAUUUGUUUUUAUUGUUUCUCGUUUCAGUUACGUUAUUCUAGGGAUUUAGGUUAAAUCCACACCUUAGAAAAGUUACGAUCCUGUUCCGUACGCAUGCCGUAUUAUUCUUUAUCAGAGUACAUGCUUCAAAAUUUGUUUAUGAAUACAUGUAUUCAUCGAAUAAUAUUGAUGAAAUGCAAAGUAUUAUUCAAAAACGCAUUGUUAAAUUUAUAUAAUUUCAUCAAAAUAGUGCUCCUAAUAGUAUUUGACACCUCAAAAUGUGCAUCAAUUAUACAGAAUUAUUCUCUAUGGCAACUUCUUUUAACUUUCAGCAGAAAAAGGUUAGAGAAAGCACGUUGGGCGUGCUUUCUCUAACUUUUUUGUUCAAAAGUACGUGCUUGUCCAUUUUUUCAACCGUCUUUAAGCACGUUUUGAAUAUAUUCCUAGAAGACGCUAGUCCUGCUAAACGUUUUCAACCGUAGGAAAUUUCUACUUUACAAUCCAGCCCUUCCUCCACGCCUAUAAAAGGGGUCUUCCACUACAUGCUUCAUUGUCCUUCAAACAUCUUCUCCCAUAGUCUCUCUAGCUCUCCUCUGGUAAACACUUCUCGAUGUUAAAAAUUUCUAUUGCUAAAACUUUUUUGUUGAUGUUUGAGGUAUUAUUGAGUCGUUGGUGAUGUGAUAUGACUCUGAGCCGCACACAUUUCAUAUAUUAUACCGAGAUGGGACCAUUACAUCUGAAGCCUAUCCUGGGAAAGUUGUGUUUCGGGAUGAUUUUGCUUUGUACAGUCAUGGGUGGAAGCAUAUGUGGAGGUUUCAAUUGAUGAUCGUUACGCGGUCAUGGAUAAAGGUAUGACGGGGGAGCCAGUUGACAGUUGUUAAGCGACUACGAGCUCAAACUUUUCAAAUACCCAAAAAUGUUGCCUUAUAAAUAACAUAUAGAAGUUUAAGGGCAUAAUCAUAGGGAAAACUGUGGGCCUUUCCGCUAUAAUCGGCAUAAUUUUUUUUCUUUAUUUCCAGAUAGGCGAUACCUUUAACCUUCAUUCUUAUCCGAUGGUCGGUACCGUCGUAGAUGCAUGAGGACUCUCAGGUAGGGAGCAAUUGUUUCAGUGGUGUAAAGGUAAUGCUCCUUUCGGGCUGAAAACGGUUGUCGUUAUUAAACAACCCAUUAAUAAUUACAACCGUUGACGCUCCAACCUGAUUUUGGCUUAUACUUCUACCGAAACAUCCACUCUCCCCCUAAGAGUCCUUUUGUGCCACCUCGGUGUCAACCUUCAAAUAAAAAUGAAAGGUUAAAGAUAUCAACUGUGUGGAAAUAGAGAAAAAAAAUUAGUUGAUUACGCCAGAAAUCCUUCCGUUUUUCCUUAUGGUUAUUACCUCAAUCUUAUGUAUAGUAUACAUAAGGCAUCAUUUGUAGAGUAUCCAAAAAUCUUGAACUCGUGACCAUGUAACAACGUCAAUUGGCCCCCGAAUAUACUUAAACCCGUGACCGCAUCUCGGUCGCCGACUAGUACCUCCACUUACACUUCGACUCUUGAUCUUAUUAAACACAGUCACCCUAAAACCAGAUUCCACCAAAAUGGGUUUCUGAGGUAAUGGUCUUAUCCCUCCACGACAUAUGAAAUAGAUGUAUUAUGAGGUGCAUUAUCACAUCCCUGACUCCUCAAAACUACUUAUGAAAUUCCCUAGUUUCACUCGAAAACCCUAAGCCCUUUUAAAAAACCCCUAAACCUAAAAACCUUAAACCUAAAAAUAUUAAAAACCUUAAACUUAAAAAAAAUAAAAACCCUAACCUUGUGAGAGAGAAAAGGAAAGUGUCCCCAGCUGGACGCAUUUUCCUUUUCUCUCUCCAAAAUCGACCUAUUUCCCUAAAUUUUCAAAAAAAAAAAAAGAUUAUAAACCUUAUUAAAAAAAUGGCAUAUACAACUAAUUUAACCAUGUUAAUGAUUACAUAACCAAAUAAAAAUAAUAAUAACAUUUUCUCAGCAAUUUUUCACUUUUUCUUUUCUUUUUUUUUCGUUUUAAAAAAAGUGGUUAUAAAGAAUAAAUUUUUUAAUAGAUAGUAGAGUUGUUCAUGGGCCAGGUCGAGAGGCCCGAUCGGAAAAUGGGAGGGUUAUGAAAAAAAUAUGUCCAAAAAAUGAGUUUGGGAAAAAAAGUAAGGCCCGUUUCGAAAAUGGGUCGAGCCUCGAGUAAAGUUCUUUUCUCCCAGUUUUGGCCCGAAUUUGCAAUAAAACCCCCUGUUUUUUUAUUGUUGUUUUCCCACUUUUUACCACUGUUUUGUUACUAUUUCACUAUUAUAUUGCUGCUAUUUUGGAAGUAUUUGUUUAUUAAGUUGCACUUAUCUUAGUGUUAUUUAAGUAUAAAAUCUUUAUUUUAAUAUUUUUAAUAUAUUUAGUGUAUUAUAUAUUCUUAAAAAAAUUUAUAUAAAAAUACAAAUUUUAAAAAACCAUAAUACCAACAAGCUAAAAUUUUCGGGCUGAUUUAGAUAGAAAUUUAACCCAUUUUUCAUACUGAACUGAACUAAACCUCGAAUUUAAAAUUUUAUUAACAACCUACUCGACCCCACCAUGAAACACUCUAGUGUCACGAACUUAAAUUUUUCCCACGCGAUCCAUACGGCUUUAGGCAGUUCCUUCGCUAAAAAAUGCCUAAGUCAACCUAACUCGCAAUAAUUGAUGAUUCAACAGAAUUCCUCUAAGGCACUCACGAAGAACAGCGGAAGAACGAAAUAAGAACGAACUCGAAAGAUGAACAAAAGCCACAGAAAAGCAAGAAUACUUGAGAGAAAAAUUUGAGUGAAUACUCUCAAAAUUCUAUUAAUAACUGAAUGAAUUACAAUGAGGGGGAGAGACCUCUAUUUAUAUUUGAGCCUCCCAAAAUAAACGGUAUAGACCAAAGUACAUCAAUGGCUAAGAUUAAAAGCUAUCUAGAUAUCAAAUCUCUAAGAUUACAAAAUAGUAUCUUCUAAAGUUUACAUUUAAUGUCUAGGAUAAUAUAUAUUUGAAGAUCACCUUCCAUAUUUGCCAAGCUUCAGAGAUGGGCUUUCAAUCUCUCCAAGCAACGGAUCAGUCCGAUUGAGCCAAAUGACCUCCUUCAAAUACGAUGAAUCAUACAAGUUCAUCAUGGUCAUCAUGGUUGUGGGCUUCCAUGCACAACCCACGACACUAGUACAUAGUAAUGGUUUGACUUAUUAUAAUUUGUGGGCUUGCUUUGCUUACCUUGAAAAACGAAGCUCCUUGAAUUAAAUAAGAGACGUACACACUCUUUUGCUUUGAGCUUAAAUCCAAGACAGUACGACAAGAUUUGUGUGUGCGAUGAAUUAUUGGACUCAUUUUUCUAAAAUUUAAUAUAGUGAUUACAUUUCUUCCGAUUCCUUCCAUUUUAAGUAAUCUUAAGUUUGAACCUUUACAUUUAAUUUAUCUUGUUCCAUAAUACGAUUAUAUUUUCCUAUCAUUUUAUCAUACCCAUUAUUUGAUUAGUAUAAUAAAAACAUACUUAUGUACGUGGGUUGAUGUUUAUAUUAUUAUUUAAAUUUUUUAUUUAAUUAAUAAUUUAGAAUGUUUAUUUCAGAAUAUUGUAAUUUUUUAUUAAAAAACCAAAUAAAAAUAUUCAUUUAGUAAAAUUUGAACCCACGCCAAUUUUAUUAGUAAAAUAUUUAAUUUAUCACUCAACUAAAAAUUUAUUUUAAUAUAUUUUAAUGUAUUUUAAUUUUAUUAUGGACACUUUAUUACCUUCAUCAGUUGUAUAUAUAUUAUUUAAAUUUCUGACUGAGUUUGUGUUAAAUCGGACACCAACUCAAUUAAGACAUUAUAGAAAUGUUCUUUCGUGAUUAAAAUAAGUAAUAUUAUUCGAAUGCAUUUUAGUUUUUUUACUUUAAAAGAUCAAUAAAAAUAUGCAUAUGGUUGGAUUUGAAUCUACUCCAAUUACAUUGGGAAAACCUUCAAUUUACCACUUAAUUAAAGCUUUAUUUUAAUAUUUUUAUAAAUUCUAAUUUUGUUAUGUACAUCUAUUACGUUCAUAAGUUGUAUAUAUUAAUAAUGUAUUUAAUUGAGUUGUUGUCAUAAAUUAAUUUGACACAAACUCAAAAUUAGUGACAACACCAUGAAAAACAAUUUAAUUUUUAUUUUUAUUUUAAUAAUGUGUAUAUUUUAAUUUAAUUUAAUUUAUUGUUAAUAAUAUUUACUUUUUCCUUGUAUAAUAAAAAAAAUACUAAAAUGGUAUCCCACUCCCAUUAUUUACGAGAAUGAUAUGGUGUGGGUGGUGGAGAGGUGACACCACCCUUGUUUUUUUUAUUCCAAUCAUUAGUUUGUUAUGCAAAAAAAAAAAAAUUAAGGAGGGAGGGAACCUAAUAGGCGGCACUAGUGGAGGCACCCUGAUAGGCGAGACCACUUUCCGCCGAAGAUCACAUAGUCACACGGUCUGACUGCCUGAACUGACUAAUUAAGGCCUCAAGGGUGUUAAAAUAUUUUCUUUAUAAGAGAGCCAUGGUGCCCUCAACGAGUGUUAAAAUUUGUUGCCUCCUUUCUUUAAAACUCUAACCUAACCAAAAUAAAAUUACAAAAAUAAUAGUUAACCUUUCAGAACUCUUAUUCUCUUCUCUUCUUUGCUGCCUUUUCCCCUUAUUAUCCUUAGCUGCUACUUCAAUUUUUUUCUUUUUUCCAGUUGAGGGGACCAUGGCUCUCUUAUAAAGAAAACAUUUUUAACACCCGUGAGCCUAAAUUGGCCAGUUCAGGCUGUCAGACCACGUGACUGUGUGGUCUCUAGUGCAAAAUGGAGCCACUUGUCAAGGGGCAUCCACCAGUGCCGCCUGUCAGGUUCCCUCCACCAUUAAAAAAACUAUAUUUUUACAUAAAAGACUAAUGAUCGGGAUAAAAAACAAAUGUGGUGCCACUUCUCUACCACCCACAUCAUACCAUUCUAAUAAAUAAUAGGAGUGGGCUACCAUUUUGGGUAUUUUUUUUAAUUAUAGAAGUAAAAAGACUAUUUUAAAAUAUGAAAAUCAUUGCGUGUAAAAGAAAACAUCAUUAUGUUUUAUGAGGUGUGUUCUUUUUCAAUAAAAAACACGAGAUAUCCACAAAAUAAGUAUUAAAUUUUCUCUAUGAUUUCUCAAUAGUUUUCGUUAUUCACAAAAAGACAGGCAAGCUACGUCAGUGAUCCAUCGUUCAUUUACACUUGAAUAUCCUUUCAAAUUAGAGCUGGGUUGUGAAAACGACUUAACCCAAUCCUCUAUUUAUAGGAGACUUGAUUUGAAAUCAUUUUCAAGAUCAAAAGGAAAUGAUGGAUGUGAGGGUGAAGCUUUUAAUCCUUUUGGCAAGCUCAUUCUUGAUUUACUCACUCAUAGUUUUACUCAAAGUUCUAUAUGACUACUGGUGGGUGCCUCCCCGUAUACAACAUCUCUUGAAUUCACAGGAACUUCAAGGGCCUCCUUACAAGUUCAUCCAUGGAUGCAACAAACAAAUUAACAAAAUGAGAAGUGAAGCAUUAAGCAAACCUAUGGGACUGACACAUGACAUACUUCCCAGAGUUUUCCCUCAUGUUUACUCCUAGAUCAACUUAUACGAUGAGUGGCAAACAACAAAUCAAAUGCAUUUUUUUCACUAUGAUUCUAACUUCUAGUUUCUAGAAAUAAUUGGUUUUUUUUUAAAUUGAGUUGAUUAGGGAAGAACUAUCUUUCUUGAGACGAUGUUCAAGCUCAGAUGGUGACUACUGACCUAGAACUAAUAAAAGAGGUUCUUAAAAAUAGUUAACAAACUUUUUUGAAAAGGAAACCCCCGAUCUAUCUUAGCAGGCUAGUAGGGGAUGGGCUUGUUACAAGUGAAGAAGAAAAAUGGGCAAAGCAGAGGAAGUUGGCCUGUAAGUAUCUCUUAUGAAUGAAACAAGAAACAAUUUAUUAUUCACAAAAUGACAAACUCAAACUUUCCACUUACAAAUUCAGUAUUUAAAGAAUAUACUUGCUAGCUAUUGUUGCUAAUUGCUGGUAACAGACUGAACUAACUAACAACUUCAAACUACCUACCUAUCUAACCCUUACCGUAUUAGUUAAUACUUUAACAUUCAUUCAUCUUCCUUACUGGAAAAACCUAAAGAAGACUUCAAAAACGAGCAAAUGCGAAGACAGAUAAAGGUUUGGUAAGAACGUCAGUAACUUGAUCACAUACAGGUACCUCACCCACAACUAAAAAUCCAUCAGCAACUUUCUUACGAACAAAAAACAAGUCAAGCUCCACAUGUUUAAACUUAGAAUACAAUACAAGAUUUGCAGCUACUGCACUUGAGUUAUCACACCAGAUAGUAGGUGAAUCAUCAGACUGAAGCUGUAAUUCCUUUAGUAACGACGUUAGCCAGACAACAUCACUUGUAGCCGCAACAAGACUUCGAUAUUCAGCUUCAGUUGUGGAUCGAGAAACAACUUAUUGUUUCUUAGAACACCAGGACAUUGGACUGUGACCAAAAUACACAUAGUAGCCAGUCGUGGAGUGACGAUCAUCAAAAUUUAGCCCCCAAUUUGCACCGGCAUACCCAACUAAAGAAAGUCGUGUAGACGGACAAGAAAUAACCCCAUAAUCCAAAGUUCCACUCAAAUAUCGCAAGAUGCGUUUUAACGCAAUUAGAUGAACAAUAGUGGGUGCAUGCAUAAAUUGAUAGAUACGAUUUACUGCGUAAGCAAUAUUAGGCCGAGUUAAAACCAUAUACUGUAAUGCCCUUGCAAGACUCCUGUAUUCAGUGGGAUCAGACAGACACUCCCCACCAUCUUUAGACAGAAAUGAGGAGCUAACCAUAAGAGUAUGAACGCUUUUUGCAUUAGUCAUAUGACACCUGUCAAGUAAAUCACGAAUAUACUUCUACUUGCAGAGAUGAAUACACCCAGUAGAGGAAUGAGUAACUUCAAUACUAAUGAAAAAAUGAAGCUCACCCAUAUCCUUUAGCGAAAACUCCUUAUGCAACUAUUUAACAAAACUGUCAUAUACGUAGGCAUGCUUCCAGUAAUAAUAAUAUCAUCCACAUACACAAGAACGUAAAUAGUGAAGGUAGACGUAACUUGAAUAAACAAAGAGGCAUCAAACUUUGACAUAAGAAAACCAAGGGAAAGUAAAAAAUCCUUUAAUUUGGUGAACCAAUCACGUGGAGCUUGUCAAAGCCCAUAUCAUGCCUUCUUUAGACGACAUACCAAAAGUUUCCCAUCAUAACUAAAUUGAACAUACCUUGGAGGUUGCUACAUAAACAUUUCAUCAGUAAGAUCCCCAUUUAAGAAAGCAUUAUUAACAUCUACGUGACGAAGUGGCCAACCUUUUGAGAUAACAACUAAUAGUAUAGCUCGAAUAGUAGCAGGUUUGACCACUAGACUAAAUGUUUCCUUGAAAUCACAUCCAGGCAUCUGAGAACAUCCUUUAGCUACAAUUUGAGCCUUUCGACGAGCAAUCGUGCCAUCCAAAUUUUUCUUUACUUUGAAUAACCAUUUACACCCAAUCACCUUCCGACCACUUAGAACCGUAACAAGAUCCUAUGUGGAAUUAUUAGUAAGAGCAUCAUAUUCAGCUUGAGCAGCAGUACGCCAUUCUAUGGUAGAAAAUGCUUCCUCUAUUGAGUGAGGUUCAACAGUUUCAGCAAAAAGAGCCCGAGGUUUAAAUAUGUCGGCCUUAGACCUAGUAACCAUUGAAUAUGUAUUAGUUGAGGGUAGCGAAGAGGUAAGAGGAACAGAAGAAUGAAAGACGGGAUUUGUUGAUGAUGAAGGCAGAGAAGAAUUAGAGUUAGUAGAUAUAUCAUCACGAGCAAAAUACACCGAAGGACUAGAGUUGAUGUUAUCCUGAGGAACACCAAAGGCCAAAGGAAUCGGAGCGACUGAAGGGGACAACUCAGGAGGUGAAACAGCUGGCUCUGUGGGUCGAGAAGAAAAAGACCGAACAAGAGGAACAUAUGUUGGCGAAAUUAAUUGCUCAGACAAAGGCGAGGAGUCGUUCAGACCAUACUCAGUAAACAGGAACCGCCGUUCAUCAAACAUAACAUGACGAGAGAUAACGAUCUUACCAUCAGGUGUGAGUCACUGAUAACCUUUACCUUGAGAGUUAUAUCCCAAAAAUGUACAUGGUUGAGAGUAAAAAUCCAACUUGUGAUGUAAAAAGAGAUGCAAGUAUGGAAAACAACAGCAUCCAAACACUCGUAAAUGAUCAUAUGUUGGAUCUUUCCCAUGUAAAGCCUUGUACGAAGAUUGUCCCUUUAACACUGAAGUAGGAAGAUGGAUAAUCAGAUGAAUAGCACAAUUGAAUGCAUAACCCUAAUACUUCAUAGAGAUAUUCGAUUGAGCCAGGAGAUUAAGACCUAUUUCAAUAAUAUGUCGGUGUUUACGCUCAGCCACCCCAUUUUUGUUCAGACGUGUGAGGACAAGACUGUGUGAGGACAAGACUGUCUAAGAAUUAUCCCUUGACUCACCAAAACAGAAGUGAAAGCUCGAAACUCACCUCUCAAUAGCUUUGAAAUUGACGAAUAUUCUUGCCAAACUAAGUUCUGACUAGCUGCUGGAACUGAACAAAACAUUCCACUGCCUGAGACUUCUAUCGAAUAAGAUACAUCCAUGUAAAACGUGUACACAUAUCAAUACCAAUUUCAUUCAUAGGUGACAGAGGCAGGUCCCCAUAAAUCUGAGACUACCAAAUCAAACAUAGUAUAUUCAGUAGUAGAAUCUAGAAAUGACAGCUUAUGAGACUUUCCUUUUUGACAUGCAGCAUAACUUUUUACAAGUAAUAUUACAAUUAUUUAAAACUGACUUAACAACAAAAGUAGAUGGAUGACCAAGACGAUUGUGCCAUAGCGCAAAAACAUUACAUUUAUUAGGUUGAUUUUGAACUUCAACAAUGGCAAGAGUCGGGCCCACAACAGUCGCAUCUGAUGGAGAAAAAUGAUACAGACCAUCACGAAUGUGGCCCUUCAGCAAAACGGCUUAAGUCUGGAUGUCUUUAAGAACACAAUAGGUUGGAUGAAAUUCAAAAAACACAUUGUUGUCAGUUGCAAACUAGGAUACAUAUAAAAGAUUUUUCCAUACAGCUGGAACACAUAAAACAUUAGACAACCGAAGUAAUUUAUACCUUGUAGGAAUGAUUGAAUUACUAAUAGAAAAAAUCUGAGUAGAAGUUCCAUCACCCAUUAAAAGAUAAGAUUUACCUGAGUAACGAGUAGAACCAUUCAACGCAGAAUUAUCACUACAAACAUGAUUUGUGGCUCCUGAGUCGGGAUACCAGGACGUAGUACCUGCAGGUAAGGGGACAUAUGAGUUAGUACCAUCAAGAUUGGACCCAAAUUGAGCCGUAUGAAUAUUAGGCUUAGUAGAAUUGGACACAUCAGGCAAAUGCAAAUCAGGAAGACGAGGAAGCCCAAUAUAUGGAUCAAACCUAGUGUACACAUGGGCCCUAGGUUUGGUUCUCCAAGGAACAGAAGGUGUAGGUCCAGGACAUACAUUAACAACAGAUGGAUCAUUAUUAAAUUGCCCCAGAAAAUAACUCGCCCCAUGCAAAACUUGGUUAACUUGUGGCCUAAAAAUAUGAGGGUGUACAUGAAGCCCAAAAGUGGCUGAUCGACCAUGACCAGCAGGAGGCCCAAAAUCAACAUGCUGUCCAUGCCCAGUCGACUACCCAACAGAAGCAAUGCGUGACCCAAAAGAAAAAUCUGGCCUAGGCACAGAAGGAACAUGCCUAGUCCAAUCAGUAACACUCUCAGUGCAAUCAGCCCGACUAACUCCAUUCACACGUCUAAAACCAUCAGCAGACCUGGGAACAAAAGAAGGAACCCUAGAGGUCGAAUGCCGCUGCGGCACCUUAGCAAAAUCUACAAAAAACCAUAAAAAAACUCAUUUGGUGUUGAGUAGCAACUAGAGACACCAUCAGUCGGACGCAACGGAAUCACGGAGGCCGACCAGUCAAACUUUAGGGAAUACACUCCGCAAUAUUCACAUGAAUCGGCACAUCGGAAACAACGAACAUCUGACGAUUCUCAAACUCGAGAAGAACAUCUACGAGGUGCUGAAAGGGCAAUGACUUAGAGGAGAACAAGGCUAACAUCAGCACUGCACCAAACUCCGGUGGAAGACCUGCCAAGACAACUUCAACUUUUUUCGCCUUCGAGACCCGGGAGCCCAAGGCAUCAAGCAAAGCACAGAGAUUUUAAACUUUUGCAACGUAUUCUGUAACCGAAAGAGUACCUUUCUUAAGCAAAUGCAGCUCAUCACGGAUACAAGAUACCUUCGCUCUGGUAACUGCCGCAAACAAUCGAGUGGCCGUGGUCCACACCUCGAAUGUCAUUUGAGCGUGAGUAAAGGAAGAUAGUAAAGAGGGAUGAAUGGUGGAAAGCAACCAUGAAGCUAACAGACGACCUUGUUGAUGAAAAGCUGAUGCACUAGGAUUCGGAACCAUAGAUCCAUCAUCCGAUGGCACAAAUCGCGCCUGAGAUGGUAAAGUCCCAUCCAAAAACCAUGUUAAUUCAUAGCCUUCCACAAUUUACCUAAUGUGUUGUUGCCAUUGAACAAAAUUGCUAUUUUUUAGUUUAGCGAUGUCAUGCCACGGGAAGGAAUGCACAACCCGAUCACCAGUAAAUGUCAAGCAACUAGGGUCAACUGAACCAGAAUUAGUAGAUGUAGUCAUGAGGAAGAAAAAGAAAGUAAGAAAAGAGAAGAAGAAAAAAAAUCAAAGCUACAGAACAAGAACAAGGCAACUGAUACCAUGUAAGUAUCUCUUAUGAAUGAAACAAGAAACAGUUUAUUAUUCACAAAAUGACAAACUCAAACUUUCCACUUACAAAUUCAGUAUUUAAAGAAUAUACUAGCUAGCUAUUAUUGCUAAUUGCUGCUAACAGACUGAACUAACUAACAACUUCAAACUACCUGCCUAUCUAACCUUUAACCGUAUUAGUUAAUACUGUUAAGAAAAUGCUUUAGGACUGAAACAUGUCAAAGUUUACGUUUUUUUGUUAAGUUGAUUGUGUCAAAAUUUGUUCUUGAUUUUAGGAAUUAGUUGUUGAUUUUAUUUUGCUUAAGUUUAGGAAAUAGUUAGUGGGUUGUUGAUUUUAUUUUGCUUGAGUUAAGGAUGGGUUGUUGAUUUAUUUUGUACAAAUUCUGAAUGAUUGUUGAAUAAAGCAAUUCAGUUUCCUUCAUCCAUUAAGUUUUUUUUUACUAAAAUACUUACAAUUGGUCUCGGAGCUGUAUUCUUAAGGGAUCUAUGAAUGAGUGUGAGAGAUUGCUGUGUCAUGGACGUCAAAGCCAGUUCUAGUUUCCCUUCAAUUUCUCCAUUGAUGUUUGAUAUAGACAACUACCAGGUUUGGGCAGUUCGUAUAGAAGCGUAUAUGGAAGCUUUGGAUAUUUGGGAAGCAGUGGAAGAGGAUUAUGAAAUUCCUGCUCUCCCACACAAUCCUACCAUGGUGCAGAUCAAAUUGCAGAAGGAGAAGAAGACAAAGAAAUCUAAGGCAAAGGCCUGCUUGUUCACUGCAGUCUCAUCUACUAUCUUCACUCGGAUUAUGACUCUGAAGUCAGCAUAUGAGAUAUGGAAUUAUCUCAAGUCAGAGUAUAAGGGAGAUAAAAGCAUCAAAAGAAUGUGUGUGUUAAGCUCGAUUCGAGAAUUCGAGUUGCAAAAGAUGAAGGAAACAGAAUCAAUCAAAGAGUAUCCUGAUAGGUUGUUGGACAUUACAAACUGAAUCAGAUUACUUGGUUCUGAGUUCAAGGACUCAAGAAUUGUUGAAAAAAUUCUUGUAACAGUACCUGAAAAUUUUGAGGCUUCUAUUUCAGCCUUGGAAAAUACUAAGGAUCUAACUUAAAUCACUAUUGCAAAGAUUCUCAAUGCUUUGCAGGCAUAGGAGCAAAGAAGAGCCAUGAGGCAAGAAUGUGCUGUUGAAGGAGCUUUGCCAGCUAAGCAUCAUGAGAAUGCGAGGAACAACAAGAAGAAGUUUUUCAAGAAGAAUCAAAAUUCUACUAAAGAAUCUUCAGCCAAUAACAAGCAGGAGUCAAGAAGGGAUCCUACCCUCCAUGUCAACAUUGCAAUAGAAAGGGUCAUCCUCCUUACAAAUGCUACAGAAGACCAGAUGCCAAGUGCACCAAAUGUAACUAAAUGUGGCAUGAAGCGGUAAUUUGUAGGAACAGGAAUCAACAACAAGGUGAAGAAGCUAAGAUUGCAGAUCAGGAGAACGAGGAUCAACUGUUUGUAGCUACAUGCUUCGUGGGCAAUGAGUUAAAUGAAAGCUAGUUGAUUGACAGUGAUUGUACCAAUCAUAUGACUCAUGACAAGGAGUUGUUUAGAGAUUUGAAGCCAAGUAAUAUCACCAAAGUCAGAAUUGGCAAUGGGGAUUACAUCUCUGUCAAAGGAAAAUGGACUGUUACGAUUGCAAGCUGUACAGGUACAAAACAUAUACAAGAUGUUCUCUUUGUUCCUGAUAUUGACCAAAAUCUAUUUAGUGUGGGUCAACUUAUUGAAAACGGCUUUAAAGUUACUUUUUAAAAUGAAUAUUGCUUGAUUAAGGAUGCAGCUAAUCAAGAUAUCUUCAAAGUAAAAAUGGAAGGAAAGAUUUUUUCACUCAAUCCUUUAGAGGAGGAGCAAUCUGCUUUUCCUCUCAAAGAAGAUGUCACACAGAUUUGGCACAAGAGAGUCAGACACUAUUAUCAUCAAGGGCUACUACAACUAAGAGAAAAGGAGUUGGCACUUGAUGUUCCCAAGCUUAGUGAUGCAAUCUCAAGCUGCGAAGUGUGUCAGUUUGGAAAGCAAAGUAAGAAGCUAUUUCCAAAGUUAACCUAGAGAGCCACUCACAAAUUGCAGCUUAUCCACUCAGAUGUUGUAGGCCCUCAAAGAACACAUUCUUUAAAAGGUAGUCCCUAUUAUAUUGCCUUUAUUUAUGACUUCAUCAGAAUGUGCUGGAUUUUUUUUCUUGAAGUUUAAAUCAGAAGUAGCUCAAGUUUUUUGGAAGUUCAAGGCAAGAGUUGAAAAUGAUAAUGGCUGCAAAAUUCAGAGUAUCAGGUCUGACAAUGGGAAGAAGUACACUUCGGUGGAAUUUGACAAGUUUUGUGAAGAUUCAGGCAUAGAGCAUCAGCUUACAGCACCUUACACACCUCAACAAAAUAGGGUUAGUGAAUGGGGAAAUAGAUGCAUCAUGGAGAUGUCAGGAUGCAUGCCACAUUAGAAGAAUUUGCCAAAGAAGCUUUGGGCAGAGGUAGCAAAUAUGGCUGUAUUUCUUCAAAAUAGGCUUCCAACAAAGGCGGUGAAGGAACAGACACCAUUUUAGGUAUGGUAUGGUUAUAAACCAUCUCUGAAAUUCCUUAAAGUAUUUGGUUGCUUGUGUUUCACUCAUUCUCCACAGAACAAGCGUGACAAGCUUGAUAGGAGAGCCUCACCAGGUAUAUUUAUAAGCUAUAGUACUGUUAGCAAGGCCUAUAAAAUUUUUCAGCCAUAAACUGGAAAUAUUGUUAUUAGUAGGGAUGUUCACUUUAUGGAGGUUGAAGAGUGGAGCUGGGAUGAUAUAGAGAAGAAGGGUCAGACUAUGACAGAGUUGAAACUCAAGUUUUCUAAUUCAAGCAUCGAAGAAGAAGAUGACUGGCAGAAUGAAACAGUGGAUGAUGCAUAUGUAAGAGGAAUAAGGUUGCUCUCAGAUGUUUAUGAAAGGUGCAAUGUUUCUGUGUGUGAACCUGUCGAUUAUGCAGAAGAAAAAAAGGAUCAAAGAUGGAUAGCUGCAAGAGAGGAGGAGCUGUCAAUGAUAGAGAAGAAAAAGACUUGGAUUCUUGUGGAUAGACCUCAAGGUAGGAAGGUAAUUGGAGUUAAGUGGGUGUUUAGAACCAAGCUUAACGCUAAUGGCUCGACCAGCAAGCACAAAGCUAGGCUUGUGGUUAAAAGGUAUGCCCAAAUCUUUGGUGUUGAUUACUCUGACACUUUUGCUCCUGUUGCUAGAUUGGAUACAAUCAGGUUACUGCUUGCAGUAGCUGCACAAAAAGGUUGGAAAGUGUUCCAAUUAGAUGUCAAAUAAGCUUUUUUAAAUGGUAUCUUACAGGAAGAAAUUUAUGUUGAGCAGCCCCAAGGAUUUGAGAAGGAAGGCAAAUGAGAUAAAGUCUAUCUUCUUAAGAAGACCUUUUAUGGUCUAAAACAAGCUCCAAGAGCUUGGUAUAGCAAAAUUGAUGAACAUUUGUUGAACUUGGGAUUUGUAAAACGUCUAUCAGAAACAACCUUGUAUGUCAAGCACAAUGAUACUGGCAUUCUUAUUGUUUCAUUGUAUGUUGAUGACCUACUGGUUACAGGAAACAAUACAGAUCAUAUUCAAAAUUUCAAACAGGAGAUGAUGGAAGUGUUUAAAAUGACAUAUCUCAGGUUCAUGUCCUACUUCCUUAGCAUGGAGAUCAAGCAAGGGCAAGGUGAAAUUUUCAUUUGCCAAAAAAAGUAAGCAAAGGAAAUACUGAAGAAUUUCAGAUGGAGGAGUGCAAUGCAGCAAGCACUCCAAUGAACCAGAAAGAGAAGCUGUGCAAAGAAGAUGGUGCUAACAAAGUUGAUAAAGGAUAUUUCAGGAGUUUGAUUGGCUGCUUGAUGUAUCUCACAUCAACAAGGCCUAGUAUUUUGAAUGUGCAAGUGUUUUGCCUCGAUUCAUGCAUUGUGCGAGUGAAUUACAUCUCAAGACAGCCAAAAGAGUGAUUCGAUAUGUCAAAGGCACAAGUGAUUUUGGUGUUAAGUUCAUAAGGGGCAAGGAGUUCAAGCUGGUUGGUUUUUCUGAUAGUGACUGGGGAGGUUCCAUUGAUGAUAUGAGGAGCACUUCAGGCUACUGUUUUACUCUUGGCUCUGGUGUUUUCUCAUGGAGCUUGAAGAAGGAAGAAAUUGUAGCCCAAUCCACUACCAAAGCAGAGUUUAUUCUGCAACAGCUACUGUUAAUCAAGCUUUAUGGCUGAGGAAAAUUUUACUUAAUCUUGAUCUGGAGUAGAAGGAAAGCACAUAGAUUCUUGUUGACAACCAAGCUGCUAUCGCUAUCUCUCAUAAUUUCGUGUUUCAUAGGAAGACUAAACAUUUUAGCAUCAAGCUAUUCUUCUUAAGGGAAGUACAGAAACAUAGAGAUGUGAUUCUUGUCUACUGUAAAAUAGAAAAUCAAGUUGUAGACAUUUUAACCAAACCAUUGCCUGCUUCCAUGUUCGAGUUUUUAAGGUCAAGACUUGGUAUUUGCGGCUCCUAAAGCAAGGAGUGUUAAUAAAAUGCUUUAAGACUGAAACAUGUCAAAAUUUGUUUGUUUUUUUUUUUUGUUAAGUUGAUUAUGUCAAAAUUUGUUCCUAAUUUUAGGAAUUAGUUGUUGAUUUUAUUUUGCUUAAGUUUAGGAAAAAGUUAGUGGGUUGUUGAUUUUAUUUUGCUUUAGUUUAGGAUGGGUUGUUGAUUUAUUUUAUAUGAAUUCUGAAUGAUUGUUGAAGAAAGCAAUUCAGUUUGCUUCAUCCAUUAAGGUUUUUAUUUUUUACUAAAAUACUUACAAAUACUUUAACAUGGCCAACUAUGUUUUCCAUGGGGAGAGCUUAAAGGUAAACUUUUGUGGGUGAUUUGAGUAGUUAAUUCUUGGUUACAUUUAACACAUUGGAGGAUGGUUUCGGCUAAACAUGACUCCAGCAGUAAUUGCUAGCGUUGAAACAAUGCUAGACAAGUGGAAAGACAAAGAAGGAGAAGAGACCGAAGCAGGGAUUUAAAUAGCGGUCCGAUAUCAGAAUAGCGACCGCUAUAUAGCGGUAGCGGCGCCGUCCAAAACUGCUACUGCUGAAAAUAGCGGUGUGAAGCAGAGUCACAUCGAUAGUGGUGGAUCGCGGCCGUAAUUUAACGGGUAAUGGCCAAUUGCGGCAAUAACGGGCCACUAUUCCCAUUAUUUUUCGUUACAGUAAAUUAAAAAAAUCCAUCCCCUUUAAACAAAAUCAACAAAAACACAAUAAAACAAUAGGGAAUAUAUUCCCCUACUUGCAAAAUCAGAGAGUUUUCAAUCAAAAAAAGUAAAAAGAAGUCCAAAUAAACAUAAAAAGUAAUCAAAACUCAAAAGCACUAGAAAAUAUGAAAUUCUAUUUCUUAUAUUUCGACAAACAACACAGAAGCAGAUGAAAGCGAGUAGCCGAGGACUUGAAUCUGAAAAGCAAACCCUGCCCUAAUCACUUGCACAUUUAGAGAUUGAUAAUUUUCUAGUAAGUACUUAAAAUUUUGUCUUGAUUUUUGCUUGUUUGUCUUGAAUCUGCAGUGCAAAUAUGUUCUUUAGAAUUGAGGACACCAUUUGAACCGCUUGACGCCAUCUAUUUCCUCUUCGAAGUUCUAGGUUUCUUCCAGUUCUUUCUCAGCCCUUCUAAGCCAGUCCUCAACGUCUUCAUAGAUGACCUUAAUUUGCCUUUUACCUCAUCGACAUGAGUUUUCACCCUCUGUUUCCUCAAUUUAAGUUCCUUUCACUGAUUCUUGAAAUCUUCAACAAUCUCUCCAUAACAGAAAAAGUAACAGAGAUAAGGUGAUGACUGAUGCAUAUUCCUUAACCUGGUUUUUCACACUUUCAACAGCAGUAGAGGCAACAUAUUCGGCCAUUUUUGUUGAUAGUCUGAUGAGGUUGAAGUUUAGAGUUAGAGGCUACUGGUUAGGGAAAUAGAAUCGUUUCAUUCUCAUUUUAUAUGCUGCUCUGUUGUGUUUUUUCUUUGGUUCUCGUUUUACUCAUUAAUUAGGGGCAGCCACCGUCCAUUUUAUCCACUAGAAAAGAGCAAACUGUUGUACAUGUAAAUUGAGUUUUUAUUGAGAAAUGGUAACCAUAAAGUUUCUGUCAAUUUGUAGCCACCGUCCAUUUUAUCCACUAGAAAAGAGCCAUGUAAAUUGUGCUUUUAUUGAGAAAUGGUAACCAUAAAGUUUCUAUCAAUUUUUUAAUAAAGUAAAUUGUUAAAAAUUUUCUUAAAACAAUUAUUAGAAAAUUUCUUUAUUAAAUUUUUAAAAAAUAUAUAAAUCUCUGGACACAGUUUUUAAUAUGACAUGUAAUAAAGUCUUUAUAGUUAAUUUUCCCCUUAAGUCCCUUAAGUCUUUGUUAUCUAUGAACAAACAUUCAUAUAUUAAAAAUUAAAAAUAUUUGAAACGCGAAAUUUUAUCAUAUGUUUGUUCAUAAAGUAAAUGUUUGUCCACAAGAAUCUAGAAAAGGAUUUAUGGAAUUUCCAAUGAAAUGGUACCUUCAAUUAUAAAUGUUAAGCAAUUUAAGAAUCUAAUUGUAACAAGUAAAAAAAAAAAGUAAAACAUAUCUAAGAAAAAGAAACAAAAACACUCCUUUUGAAAGAAAUCAGAAAAUGAAGAUGUUUAGUUAGCUUAUAAAUAAAAAAUAGUAUUAAGUAAAUAGAACAUAAUAAAUGAUUGGACAAACAGAGGACUAAAAGAGAAAAAAAAACGUUCAUUUAAUUUAGAAACAAUAAAUCAAAGAACCCAAAAAUUUAAAGAAGAAUCUUGCAUGACCCAAAUAUUUAUAAACUCAUAUUAGAGCAAAAAAGAAAAAGAAGAAGAAGCUUUAGAAAGGCUUAUCAUUUAUUAGCAAAAUUAACACAAUAAAGAAAAAAAAACUUUAGAUAAACUUUAGAUUUAACUUAAGAGAGUAAAAAAAAAUGAUUUCUAAAUGUAAUUUAGUUUGUAUAAUAUGAAAAACUUGAAUUUUUAAAUUUGAUCCAAUUUGAAUUUAAAUUUUAUUAAGACGGAACAAAACAAACUAUUUAUACCAAAAACUUUGGAACCAAGUAAUAAUGGGUUAUGGUGUAUUGUUGUUUUUAAAAUAAAUAAAUAAAUAAAUUGUAUGGAUUAUACAAUAAAUUUAAAAUUUUCAUGUUAAUGAUAUUUACUUCUUUUUUGUAUUAUAUUGUUGAUAAUAUAAAUAAUGAGUUGCUUAUAUUUCUAAAUAUAAUUUUAUGUUUCUUAUAUAUAAAUAAAAAUAAAGCAUGCCACCACGUGAAGAGUUCCCGACUAAAGGAUUGGAGGGUGCACCAAGUAAUGAUAUAGGUUGGCACUUUGGAACUCCAGUGCCAAAUGCGAAAGGAAAUAUCGUAUGUAAACUUUGUGGUAAAGUUGUGAAAGGAGGAAUAACACUAUUUAAAGAGCACAUUGCUCAUAAAACCAACAAGGUUGCACCAUGCCCUAAUGUUACUGGUAUGUGGUACUUUAUUUUUUUAUAAAUGUUAUUGUAAAUUUAUCAAUAAAGAUUAUAUAUAAUUUAUAAUAAUAUAAAGUGUGAAUUAUUUUUAUUUUAUUAACAGGUGUCAUUAGAGAAAGUAUGAUGAAUAUACUGAAAGAAAGCAACACAAAGAAAAUAGACAAAAAGAGGAGAAAAGAUGAAUUCUUAUAUCAAUUAAGAGAAGAGGAGGAUGAACACGAGGAAUUCAUUGAUGAGGUUUCUACUAUAAGGCAAGCAACUCGAGAAAGUAUCCAAUCACAACACGAGUGGCAUAAAAGGGAAGAAUUCAGACGAAGUACUGGUGAUUGGGAUAACAUUUAUGAAGAAGGGCGAUCUUCUCAUGGAUCAGCUAGAGAAAUAUCAUAGAGAAAGAACACGUAAAUCCAUCCCAAGUGAGUCUGAGUUUACCUUAAGGGGAGCUAUACCUGAAUUGGUUAGAAGCAAAAUUUCAAAGCAACCAAAGGUCAAUGACUCUUUUUUAAAGAGUUUCCAAAGAAAGAUAGGUGAAGCGGUAUCUAAAUUUUUAAUAUAUGAAAGACUUCCUUUUCAAUGAGCAAGCUCUCCAUGGUUGUAUAACUUAAUUCAAGUGCCACUAGAAGUUGGAUAAGGUGUAAAGCUCCCCACACCUUAUGAGGUUUCAGAUGUGCAUUUGGAGUCAGAGUAUCAACGAGUUCGUGAUUGGGUAAAUGGACUAAAGACUCAUUGGAAAGAAUUGGGUGCAACUCUAAUGUGUGAUGGUUGGACCAACAGUUUGAAUCAAAUGCACAUCAUUAAUUUCCUUGUUUAUUGCAGUAAAGGAACCAUUUUUUGGAAAUCGGUAGAUGUCUCAAGUGUCUGUAGUAGCGAUGUUGAAUUCUACUACUAUUUGUUAGAUUCAGUUGUAGAAGAAAUUGGAGAAAACUACAUUGUUCAAAUAGUGACUGAUAAUGAGACAACAAUGAAAGCUGCUGGAAAAAAAAUAAUGUUGAAAAGAAAACAUCUAUACUGUUUAGAUUUAUGCCUUGAAGAUAUUGGGAAAAAGCCCAGUGUAGCAAAAAUGUUAGAUGAGGAAAAGAAAGUGACUUGCUUUAUAUACAAUCACAUUUGGACUGUUGAUUUGAUGAAGAAGUAUACACAAGGGAAACAAAUACUUCGACCUGCUCUUGCUCGAUUUACAACUCAUUUCAUUCAACUUGAAGAGAUAACAAGACAAAAGCAAGGUCUGAGAGAAAUGUUUAAUUCAAAGGUCAGUAUUUUAUAAUUAGUUAAUAUAAUUACUUAAAUAUAGCAACCUUUAAUGAUUUUAUUAGUUCCAAAUAAUUUAAAUUAUAUUAUUUUAAAAUUUUUCUUAUGAAUAUAUAGGAAUUUAAAGAAUCAAAAUGGUGACAGCAAAAGUCAGGGCCUGCUUAUGAAGCCAAAAAAAUUGUUUUGGGAAAAGAUUUUUGGAAAAAAAGCCAAUGACCUCAUAAAAGUUUACGAGCCCCUAGUAAAAGUAUUGAGACUUGUGGGUAGCGAUGAAAAACCAACAAUGAGCUUUAUUUAUGAGGCUGUUGAUAGAGCUAAACGAGCAAUUCAACAAGAUUGUUGAUAUUUCACCGAGUACGAAAAGAUUAUUAACAAUAGAUGGAAUUUUAUGCAUUCCGACUUGCAUUCAGCUGGUAAGAUAAAAUGUUUCAUAUAAUUAAGAACUAUUUUUAUAUUUUAUUAAUUUAAGCUUUAGAUUAUUAUUUGAUGAUAUUCUUAUAAAUUCUACUUAGGUUAUUUUCUCAAUCCUCAAUUUCAAUUUGGGGUGGAGCAUUCUGAGAAUGUACUAAUAGAAACAUUAGAAGGUACACGAUCAGAAUGGUUAAUCAGGUUAGAUUCAAGUACUAUUAUUUGUAACAUAGUUACAUAAUUUGAAAUAGAAUUAUUUUUUUUAUUUUUACUCUAUCUUUUAUUUAUGCAAUUGUUACUAUUUAGAGAUAAACAUGAGACAUUCGGUACUCUACAAGCACAAAGAGCUUGGAAGCAAAUGAAUCCGAAUAAACAGUUAAUUAAAUUAUUUAAUUUAAUUUAUAUUAUUUACUUAUAUUGUACAUUUUAAAGUUAUUUUGAAAUUUAAAUAAUAUUAUGCAGCUGAGUGGUGGAUAAUAUACGGCACAUGUGUUCCUGAAUUACAAAAAUUAGCAAUUAAAGUGCUUAGUCAAACAACUUCAGCAUCAAAUUGUGAACGAAAUUGGAGCACAUUUAGUUAUAUUCACACCAAGGCAAGAAAUAGGUUAAAGUAUAAAAAACUUGAGAAACUAGUGUUUACCUAUUAUAAUAUGAGGCUUCAGAUAAGGCAUCAAAAAAGAAUGAGCACUGAUGAUAUAAACGCUAGUUUUAAUCCUAUCAGCCUUGAUUAUAUCUUUGAAGAUGUUGAUCCACUAUCAGAAUGGCUUCAUAAGAAAGAGAAUUCAUUUUUAGAUGGUGAAAAUGCCGGUGUGUUGCCUGUGGAUACCUCUGAUGAUGAAAUAGAUGUUGAUCAAUCUCAACAACAAAAUUUGUCUCAUUCAAGUUCUAGUUCAAUGCCAAGUCAAAGUGGCGAUGGACCCGAUGUGGUGGUUUAAGUCCAAUUGAUGGGGAUGAUGGAUAAAGUGGUGAUAGAGGUGAAAUUAGAUCUUCUAGUCAGUAUGGAGGAGAAUAUGAGGUUGGUACCACUAGUGGACAUUUCCGUGAUAGAUCAGAGUUUGAUGGAAAUAUGUUUCCUGAACCUAGGAGAGAUAAAACUAAACCUAGAAUUCCAUCAAAAUGAAAAGACAAAAAGCAUACUUCUAUAGUCUCUUCAUCUGGUAGGAGAUCGAGUUCUAGUAACCUUGGGUAUAGUGAUUCAUCUACUAGCACUCAAGGUUUUUAUCCACCAGAACAACCUUCAUAUUUUCAACCUUCACAUGGUUAUCCACAACCAUAUGAUUAUUAUCCAGCAUUUCCUAAUUAAGGUGUGUCAUACCAACCUCAAAUGCAUCCUCCACCACCAAUGUAUCACCCACCUCCACCUCUCAUGUAUCCUCCUGCUCAAGUAUAUCCUCCAUAUCAAUUUUAUGAAAACCAAGGUGAAAAUGUUUUUUUUUGGAUAUAUUUUUGGACAAAGGCCAAGAGAAUCAAGUCAAGAACGCUCUCAAAGUGAAGGUGAAUGAUUUGAUCUUCCUCGUCAUUCCACUAAUUGGUGAAAACUAAAUCGUACCACUACCAUUAUUUGUAAGGUAUGUUUUUUUUAAAGAAAAACUUUUGUUAAUGUUCUUAAUUUUGAUGAUAUUAAAGCAUUUAAAAUAUAUCUUUAGAUAAAUAAAUGGAGUAUAUUUUAUGAAAAGAUAAUUAAGAAUCAAAGCAUGUUAAACUAUAUAUGAAGGUAGAAUGAGAGUGAGAAUAAGUGGUAGGAAAUCAGAAUAAUUAAUGAGAAUCUAUACAUUUAUCUAUUCUUUUUUUCCUUUUGCAGCAUAGAAUGUUUAUAUCUUCACCAUCUUCAAAGCUGUCAAGAAAUAUUGAAGACAUCUCUCAGGUAUGAAUUUUCAAUUAUUUUAUCUAUUAAAACUUUCAAACUUAUUAAAUAUGAUAACUGUUUAAUAUUUCUUUUUUUUUACUUUGUUAUUAGUUAAUAUAACAUUCUUAGAAAAUUCGUAAAUAAAUGUAAGAAUAAUUAAUGAUUAUAAAAGUUGUAUUCUCAUAUCAUAUUAAUAAAAGUUUACAAGUGUUAGAAAACACUCUAAAAAUCAUUAAAAGUGACUUUUUAUAAUUAUAAUUAUAAUUAUUAUGUUUUACAAUAAGUUGUUCAAAUUUUAAAAAAAUUCACGACCACGAUACCCGUAGUGGCUGCAAUAACAUCCGUUAUGUCCGCAACCGUAAUAAACGCAACGCGAUCGAAAACGCAGCUGCGACUGCAAUUAAAUCCCUGGACCGAAGUGUUCCAAGAAUAUAGAAUGUUCACUUCAGAAGUCAUAUCAAGAACAGCUUUUGGUAGCAGUUACUUGGAAGGAGAGAAGAUCUUUUACAUGUUGAAGAAGCUCGUAGAUAUUGUGAGCCGCAAUUCAAACAAGUCUAGGAUUUCAAUCCUCAGGUAUGUUUGUUUAUGUUGGUUGAGUGUUAAGGAAAUUAGUACAUGUAAGUUCUCGAGUUUUAGCCUUGUGAAUAAACAUAAUAGUUACUGUUUGUUGACAUCGAUUUGAUUUUGCAGCAAGUUUUAGAAAACUGACGAUGACUAGAGUCAGAGAAACUUGCUAGAGAAAUACAAGAUUUGGUGAUAGAGUUUGUGAAGAAAAGAGAAAAUAAAGUUGCGAGUGGAGAAGCAGAGAGCUUCGGCAGUGAUUUUCUGAGAAUAUUAGUAAAAGCGUUUAAUAGUCCGGAUGAAAAAAAAACAAGAUUUUAAUGGAAGAUUUGGUUGAUGAGUGCAAAACAUUUUAUUUUGCUGGACAAGAAACUGUUAAUGCCUUGCUUGCUUGGGCAGUGCUGGUUUUAGCUAUCCAUAGAGAUUGGCAAGACAAAGCAAGAAGAGAGGUGAUGGAGAUAUUUGGUAGCCAAAAUCCACACUCCUAAGUCCUUGCCAAAAUCAAAAUCGUAAGCAAAUCUGAUAGCUUAAUUGUACUUGUAUUAUUGUUUCUCAUUUAAAUGAAGCUGAAAUAUAACUUUUGCAAACAGAUGCGCAUGAUCAUUAAUGAAACUCUACGAUUGUAUGCUCCCAUAAAUGGGUUGGUAAGAAGAGCUAGAAGACAAGUUCAAGUGGGAAAGCUAGUCUUGCCUGCUAAAGUAGAUGUUUGGAUCCCAAACAUGGCACUUCACCAUGACCCUCAGUUAUGGGGAGAUGAUGCCCAUGUUUUUAAACCGGAGAGGUUCGAGAAAGGGAUCGUGAAAGCUACCAAGUACAAUGCGGUUGCAUUUAUUCCUUUCGGAAUGGGACCUCAAGCUUGUGUCGGGAUGACCUUUGCAAUCUAUGAAACAAAGACUGCUCUUUCCAUGAUUCUACAAAGAUACACCAUUUCUCUCUCUCCUGCCUAUGUUCACCAUUUCUCUCUCUCCUGCCUAUGUUCACUCACCCACACCUCGUAUCACAGUUCAACCACAGCAUGGGAUUCAAGUUAUACUCAAUUCACUGUCUAAUGAUGCUUAAACUAUGCGCUAUUGAUCUGCAACGCUGUAAUCAGUAAGUAAACUCUAGUGUCGGAUUUUAGUAAUGUUGUUUGGUUAGGCCUGCCAUGUAGUUUGCCAAUUCCCCAUGUUCGUAUAUCUGUGAAUUUUGUCAGGUUCUAGAAUUAUUCGAGUUCUUUAUUUUCUAUAAAAUAUC